GACGAACCGAGCGAACGUUAUUCGGAAUCACUGGGCUUAAAGGGCGCGUAGGCGGGCGAUCAAGUCAGGGGUGAAAGCCCCCAGCUCAACUGGGGAAGUGCCUUUGAUACUGGUCGUCUCGAGGGGGAUAGGGGCGUGCGGAACUUCCGGUGGAGCGGUGAAAUGCGUAAAUAUCGGAAGGAACACCGGUGGCGAAGGCGGCACUCUGGGCCGGUACUGACGCUGAGGAGCGAAAGCGUGGGGAGCGAACAGG
This 253-nucleotide ribosomal RNA is filed under the name uncultured bacterium. RNAcentral describes it as "partial 16S ribosomal RNA". It matches the Rfam family "Bacterial small subunit ribosomal RNA", at positions 524 to 776 of the family's 1533-position model. The record is from RNAcentral.